GACGAACGCUGGCGGCGUGCUUAACACAUGCAAGUCGAACGGAAAGGCCUGCUUUCCCUUGUGGAUUGCGGGUACUCGAGUGGCGAACGGGUGAGUAACACGUGAGUGAUCUGCCCCCAACUUGGGUAUAAGCCUGGGAAACUGGGUCUAAUUCCCGAUAGGACUGCAGGGUGGUGCCUGUGGUGGAAAACGAUUUUCUAGUGGUUGGGGAUGAGCUCGCGGCCUAUCAGCUUGUUGGUGGGGUAAUGGCCUACCAAGGCGGCGACGGGUAGCCGACCUGAGAGGGUGGACGGCCACAUUGGGACUGAGAUACGGCCCAGACUCCUACGGGAGGCAGCAGUGGGGAAUAUUGCACAAUGGGCGGAAGCCUGAUGCAGCGACGCCGCGUGGGGGAUGACGGCCUUCGGGUUGUAAACUCCUUUCGACCGCGAGGAAGCCACCUGGUUGGAAGGGUGGUGACGGUAGUGGUAGAAGAAGCACCGGCUAACUACGUG
This 494-nucleotide ribosomal RNA is filed under the name uncultured bacterium. RNAcentral's name for it is "partial 16S ribosomal RNA". It matches the Rfam family "Bacterial small subunit ribosomal RNA", at positions 28 to 507 of the family's 1533-position model. The record is from RNAcentral.